GCGUCGCACACGCGUUGCGUACGGACGCGCGACCGCCUCCGUGCGCUAUCAAAAAUGUCGACGGUGGUAAAGUGUAAUAACUGCAAUGUUGUUAUUAAUGAAGUCCUUGCAUUUAUUUGCAACAAGAUUGAUGUGAUGGAUGAAGAGAGCAUUAAUAAUAAUAAUUAGAAUACUUUAUGCAGAACUCAUUGUUUUGAGCCACUAAUACAGCUCUUAUGCACUUCUACAGAAAGGCAACAUCAUGGAUAUGAUGUAGUCAUGCUUUUGAUGUUCCUUGUAAACUACAAAAAA
Trichoplusia ni (cabbage looper) is the source of this 291-nucleotide long non-coding RNA. RefSeq lists it as uncharacterized. The record is from RefSeq and is a predicted model, not a curated record. The transcript has 2 exons. Lineage: Eukaryota; Metazoa; Arthropoda; Insecta; Lepidoptera; Noctuidae.